This 28-nucleotide non-coding RNA is filed under the name Cricetulus griseus (Chinese hamster). Lineage: Eukaryota; Metazoa; Chordata; Mammalia; Rodentia; Cricetidae. The record is from RNAcentral.
AAUGAAACACUUCAAAACACUGAUACAA